AGGUUAAGCUAAUAAGGGCGCACGGAGGAUGCCUAGGCGCCAGGAGCCGAAGAAGGACGCGACGAACAGCGAUAUGCCUCGGGGAGCCGUAAGUGGGCUUUGAUCCGGGGAUUUCCGAAUGGGGAAACCCAGCUGCGGUAAUGCGCAGUUACCCUUGACUGAAUACAUAGGUCAUUGGAGGCAUACCCGGGGAACUGAAACAUCUAAGUACCCGGAGGAGAAGAAAACAAGAGUGAUUCCGUCAGUAGCGGCGAGCGAAAGCGGAUUAGCCCAAACCUAAGAGCUUGCUCUUAGGGGUUGUGGGACGUCUCACAUGGAGUUACAAAGGAGCAGGGUAGACGAAGAGGACUGGAAAGUCCCGUCAAAGAAGGUAACAACCCUGUAGUCGAAAGUCUGCUCCCUCCGAGACGGAUCCCGAGUACCGCGGGACACGAGAAACCCCGUGGGAAUCCGGCAGGACCAUCUGCCAAGGCUAAAUACUCCCUGGCGACCGAUAGUGAACCAGUACCGUGAGGGAAAGGUGAAAAGCACCGCGGGAGCGGAGUGAAAAAGAACCUGAAACCGUGCGCUUACAAGAAGUCAGAGCCCGAUCUAGGGGUGAUGGCGUGCCUUUUGUAGAAUGAACCGGCGAGUUACGUUCACGUGCAAGGUUAAGCUGAAGAGGCGGAGCCGAAGGGAAACCAAGUCUGAAUAGGGCGAAUAAGUACGUGGUCGUAGACCCGAAACCGUGUGAUCUACCCCUGUGCAGGGUGAAGGUGCGGUAACACGCACUGGAGGCCCGAACUCGUGAGCGUUGAAAAGCUCUGGGAUGACGUGGGGGUAGGGGAGAAAUUCCAAUCGAACUCGGAGAUAGCUGGUUCUCCCCGAAAUAGCUUUAGGGCUAGCCUCGAGGUUAAGCAUCAUGGAGGUAGAGCACUGAUUGGGUGCGGGGCCCGCCAAGGGUUACCAAGUCCAGUCAAACUCCGAAUGCCAUGUAUGUAUACUCGGGAGUCAGACGGCGAGUGCUAAGAUCCGUCGUCAAGAGGGAAAGAGCCCAGAUCAUCAGCUAAGGUCCCCAAGUGUGUGUUAAGUGGGAAAGGAUGUGGAGUUGCGAAGACAACCAGGAUGUUGGCUUAGAAGCAGCCACCAUUUAAAGAGUGCGUAAUAGCUCACUGGUCGAGUGACUCUGCGCCGAAAAUGUAACGGGGCUAAACACACCACCGAAGCUAUGGCAUGCAUACUUAGUAUGCUUGGGUAGGGGAGCGUUGUAUGCGGGUAGAAGUCAGACCGUAAGGACUGGUGGACUGCAUAGAAGUGAGAAUGCCGGUAUGAGUAACGAAAAGAUCAGUGAGAAUCUGAUCCGCCGAAAACCUAAGGGUUCCUGGGGAAGGUUCGUCCGCCCAGGGUAAGUCGGGACCUAAGGCGAGGCCGAAAGGCGUAGUCGAAGGACAACAGGUUGAAAUUCCUGUACCACCGUAAAUCGUUACGAGCGAUGGGGGGACGCAGGAGGGCAAGGACGCGAGCGGAUGGAAGAGCUCGUCCAAGCAGCAAGAGGGUAGCAUAGGCAAAUCCGUGCUACGUAACCUCAAGCUGUGAUGGGGAGGGAAAAUUGCAGUACCGAAGGUCCCGUGCUCACGCUGCCAAGAAAAGCCUCUAGCCAGAUGAAGGUGCCCGUACCGUAAACCGACACAGGUGGGUGAGAUGAAUAGUCUAAGGCGCGCGGAAGAACUCUCGUUAAGGAACUCGGCAAAAUGACCCCGUAACUUCGGGAGAAGGGGUGCCCCGGUAGUGUGAAUAGCACGAGGGGGCCGCAGUGAAGAGGCCCAAGCGACUGUUUAGCAAAAACACAGGUCUGUGCGAAGCCGUAAGGCGAAGUAUACGGGCUGACGCCUGCCCGGUGCUGGAAGGUUAAGGGGAGCGGUUAGGGGCAACCCGAAGCUGUGAACCGAAGCCCCAGUAAACGGCGGCCGUAACUAUAACGGUCCUAAGGUAGCGAAAUUCCUUGUCAGGUAAAUUCUGACCCGCACGAAUGGCGUAACGAUCUUGGGCGCUGUCUCAACGAGAGAUCCGGUGAAAUUUUAGUACCUGUGAAGAUGCAGGUUACCCGCGACGUGACGGAAAGACCCCAUGGAGCUUUACUGGAGCUUGAUAUUGAACUUUGGUACGGUCUGUACAGGAUAGGUGGGAGCCUUGGAAGCCUGAGCGCCAGCUUAGGUGGAGGCGCCGUUGGGAUACCACCCUGAUCGUAUCGGAGUUCUAACCUGCCACCCUUAUCGGGUGGAGGGACCGUGUCAGGCGGCCAGUUUGACUGGGGCGGUCGCCUCCUAAAGAGUAACGGAGGCGCCCCAAGGUUCCCUCAGCGCGGUUGGAAAUCGCGCGAAGAGUGCAAAGGCAUAAGGGAGCUUGACUGCGAGACCUACAAGUCGAGCAGGGACGAAAGUCGGGCUUAGUGAUCCGGUGGUACCGAAUGGAAGGGCCAUCGCUCAACGGAUAAAAGCUACCCUGGGGAUAACAGGCUUAUCUCCCCCAAGAGUCCACAUCGACGGGGAGGUUUGGCACCUCGAUGUCGGCUCAUCGCAUCCUGGGGCUGAAGUAGGUCCCAAGGGUUGGGCUGUUCGCCCAUUAAAGCGGUACGCGAGCUGGGUUCAGAACGUCGUGAGACAGUUCGGUCCCUAUCUGUCGCGGGCGUAGGAAAUUUGAGAGGGGCUGUCCUUAGUACGAGAGGACCGGGAUGGACGCGCCGCUGGUGUACCAGUUGUUCCGCCAGGAGCAUCGCUGGGUAGCCAAGCGCGGGAGGGAUAAGCGCUGAAAGCAUCUAAGCGCGAAGCCCGCCUCAAGAUGAGAUUUCCCAGUAUGUAAGACCCCUGGAAGAACACCAGGUUGAUAGGCUCGGGGUGGAAGCGCGGCAACGUGUGCAGCUGACGAGUACUAAUCGGUCGAGGGCUUAUCCUAA
This 2932-nucleotide ribosomal RNA is filed under the name Cohnella faecalis. RNAcentral describes it as "bacterial LSU rRNA". It matches the Rfam family "Bacterial large subunit ribosomal RNA". The record is from RNAcentral. Lineage: Bacteria; Bacillati; Bacillota; Bacilli; Caryophanales; Paenibacillaceae.